GCAUCAAUGGGGUAAUGGUAACCUGGGUCGUUGCCAUGCGUUUCGCGUACUGACUGGAAGCGUCGACCCGCCGGGGGUUCGAUUCCCUCUUGAUGCA
Molecule: transfer RNA, 97 nt
Filed under: Marasmius sp. AFHP31
Lineage: Eukaryota; Fungi; Basidiomycota; Agaricomycetes; Agaricales; Marasmiaceae
Description: tRNA-Gly
Rfam family: tRNA
About the family: Transfer RNA (tRNA) molecules are approximately 80 nucleotides in length. Their secondary structure includes four short double-helical elements and three loops (D, anti-codon, and T loops).
Source: RNAcentral